RNAcentral lists this transfer RNA (67 nucleotides) under Dryomyza anilis. RNAcentral's name for it is "tRNA-His". The record is from RNAcentral. Lineage: Eukaryota; Metazoa; Arthropoda; Insecta; Diptera; Dryomyzidae.
AUUUAAAUAGUUUAUUAAAAAAUAUUGAUUUGUGGUGUCAAUGAUAUGAAUUUAUUCAUUUUAAAUC